UGAAAUCCCCGAGCUCAACCUGGGAACUGCAUCUGAUACUGGCAAGCUUGAGUCUCGUAGAGAGGGGUAGAAUUCCAGGUGUAGCGGUGAAAUGCGUAGAGAUCUGGAGGAAUACCGGUGGCGAAGGCGGCCCCUGGACGAGACUGACGCUCAGGUGCGAAAGCGUGGAGAGCAAACAGGAUUAGAUACCCUGGUAGUCCACGCCGUAAACGAUGUCGACUUGGAGGUUGUGCCCUUGAGGCGUGGCUUCCGGAGCUAACGCGUUAAGUCGACCGCCUGGGGAGUACGGCCGCAAGGUUAAAACUCAAAUGAAUUGACGGGGGCCCGCACAAGCGGUGGAGCAUGUGGUUUAAUUCGAUGCAACGCGAAGAACCUUACCUGGUCUUGACAUCCACGGAAGUUUUCAGAGAUGAGAAUGUGCCUUCGGGAACCGUGAGACAGGUGCUGCAUGGCUGUCGUCAGCUCGUGUUGUGAAAUGUUGGGUUAAGUCCCGCAACGAGCGCAACCCUUAUCCUUUGUUGCCAGCGGUCCGGCCGGGAACUCAAAGGAGACUGCCAGUGAUAAACUGGAGGAAGGUGGGGAUGACGUCAAGUCAUCAUGGCCCUUACGACCAGGGCUACACACGUGCUACAAUGGCGCAUACAAAGAGAAGCGACCUCGCGAGAGCAAGCGGACCUCAUAAAGUGCGUCGUAGUCCGGAUUGGAGUCUGCAACUCGACUCCAUGAAGUCGGAAUCGCUAGUAAUCGUGGAUCAGAAUGCCACGGUGAAUACGUUCCCGGGCCUUGUACACACCGCCCGUCACACCAUGGGAGUGGGUUGCAAAAGAAGUAGGUAGCUUAACCUUCGGGAGGGCGCUUACCACUUUGUGAUUCAUGACUGGGGUGAAGUCGUAACAAGGUAACCAAGGGCGAAUC
RNAcentral lists this ribosomal RNA (915 nucleotides) under uncultured Shigella sp. RNAcentral's name for it is "bacterial SSU rRNA". It matches the Rfam family "Bacterial small subunit ribosomal RNA", at positions 595 to 1512 of the family's 1533-position model. The record is from RNAcentral. Lineage: Bacteria; Pseudomonadati; Pseudomonadota; Gammaproteobacteria; Enterobacterales; Enterobacteriaceae.